GAUGAACGCUGGCGGCGUGCCUAAUACAUGCAAGUCGAGCGAACAGACGAGGAGCUUGCUCCUCUGACGUUAGCGGCGGACGGGUGAGUAACACGUGGAUAACCUACCUAUAAGACUGGGAUAACUUCGGGAAACCGGAGCUAAUACCGGAUAAUAUAUUGAACCGCAUGGUUCAAUAGUGAAAGACGGUUUUGCUGUCACUUAUAGAUGGAUCCGCGCCGCAUUAGCUAGUUGGUAAGGUAAAGGCUUACCAAGGCGACGAUGCGUAGCCGACCUGAGAGGUUGAUCGGCCACACUGGAACUGAGACACGGUCCAGACUCCUACGGGAGGCAGCAGUAGGGAAUCUUCCGCAAUGGGCGAAAGCCUGACGGAGCAACGCCGCGUGAGUGAUGAAGGUCUUCGGAUCGUAAAACUCUGUUAUUAGGGAAGAACAAAUGUGUAAGUAACUAUGCACGUCUUGACGGUACCUAAUCAGAAAGCCACGGCUAACUACGUG
Molecule: ribosomal RNA, 497 nt
Filed under: uncultured bacterium
Lineage: Bacteria
Description: partial 16S ribosomal RNA
Rfam family: Bacterial small subunit ribosomal RNA
Source: RNAcentral